Molecule: long non-coding RNA, 5769 nt
Organism: Triticum dicoccoides
Lineage: Eukaryota; Viridiplantae; Streptophyta; Magnoliopsida; Poales; Poaceae
Exons: 4
Source: RefSeq, a predicted model, not a curated record
UCUCCUCUUUCCCCCUCAUCCCACCUCCCUCUCGGCCGCCUCGUCUUCUCCACCUCCGCCUCCACCACAACCGAUGGCUCCAUGCCGGCUGUGAAUAGUGCGAGCGAGCGGGGCGAUAGGAAAAGAAGAGCGAGCCCUUCCCCCUCCCCCCUCCCUCAAGAACCCUAGCCGCUGCCUCCUCCUCCUCCCGCCUCAGCCGCCUCCCGCCUCCCCUCCACCCCUCCCGCAUCUCGUCCGCCCAGAGUGCGGAGGCGAGCUUCUCGACGACGGUGGCGCUGGCUCGAGGCCGGGGAGCGGCCGAUGCGGCCCUCCUUCUCGACGACGGUGGCGCUGGCUCGAGGCCGGGGAGCGGCCGAUGCGGCCCUCCUUCUCCGCCAUCACCGAUUCUCCUGGCUGUGGUGAUGGCAGCGCGGCGGAGCUCGUCGUCGACCGGCGGGCGGCACCAGGCGGCGGCGCGACCAUUAGCAUCGGCACCAGCGCACGAGGUCACGGGGCGUGAGGAGAGGGAGGGGAUAGAUGCGUGGGCCGUGGGGAGUAGGAGCCCGUGGUCAUGGCGGCGCAACGGAGGUCGUGGCCGGGCCCUUGUCCCAACCGUCAAGCCAUUGGGGAGGUGAAGAUGGUGAUGGCGGCAGUAGAAGCGCGCGGAGCAGCAGAAACAUCAUCCCUCCUUGCCUUGUUCUUUUAUCUCUUCCUAAUAGUUUGUUGGUCGAAUUUAUAGGAUUCUUAAUCGGCAGAUCAGGAAUCACCUCCCCAUUCAGCUAAGCUACAUGUCUUUUGCUUAUAUUUUGUCCUUUCUUGUACUUACAUCUCAUGCUGUGUGGAUUUCCUAUGGCUCAAGUUUGUUGCUGCGCUCAGGUUUCAGCAAUUGCUGCACCUGCAAAUUUGGGGUUGAGUGUACAGUUUACUUUCAGUCAAAAGCUAUGCUAUUUUCAGCACAAGAUAUUAUAUGUGGUCUUUGACAGAUUUGAUUGAUUUUGGCUGAUGUACAUGAAUGACAGUGGAUGGACAAGGAUUGAGGGAAUGUAGAAGCGGCUUCGUCAGCGUGUGUCGAGAUUCUUAGCGAGCAGUUCCUUGGACAAGGAUUGAAAAAUUUAAGUAUGUACUUAUUCCUGUGUGCAGAUUACCAUGAACAAGACAACUGAAGGUUAAUAAUCUUCCUCUUAUUUUGCAUCCUUGAUUAAUUUAUAGCAUUCAUAGUAAUACCACAUGUAUACAGCUAAUGUCUAUUUGUUUGUUUCAACUGACACUUUCUUGCCGGCAAGCAACACUGACCUCAGGCAUCUACAACUCAUUGCCUUUGCUUUGUUGAUUUAUAUAAAAAAGGAAUUUCAGGCUGCCAUUUAUGUGAACAUUUUUUCUGUUGCAGAUUUUACCUGCUCGACAAAGUCCAAUGAAAGAAGUACAAUGUAUCAUUGAUUAUAGCUAAAGCAGAUGGACAAGGAUUGAGGGAAUGUAGAAGCGGCUUUGUCAUCGUGUGUCGAGGUUCUUAGCAAGCAGUUCCUCUGAGAUGGUUUCAGGUCGCUGAUUGUUUUCUACCCUAUGCACACAAGAUGUCUCCCCUUUUAUAGUUACCGCUUGGAUAGGAUACGUGGAGUUCAUAUUCUAUCAGAUUUUAUCCCUGAGUAAUUUGGUCCUAAAGAUGUCAGGUUUAAGAAUGUGCCACUUUAAUGUCUGUUGUGCGGCCUCGGUUACACAUAAUUUGUUCCUAAAGAUGUCAUUUCAGAAUGUGCCACUUUAAUGUCUGUUGUGCGGCCUCUGUUACACAUAAUUGCACUUUUGUCCUUAUGUCUUCGAUUUUGCUUUCAGAGGUUCUUAGUGCUAGAAAUAUUAUUGUUCCAGAUUUUAGCUGUACUACUCAUGCCACUCUUUUUUUAUUGCUUUGUAGCUGAAGGAUUAGUGAGACUGUUUGGGCUGAAUUCUGAUUUUGUAGCACUUAUUCCAUGUGAGGCAGGUAGCAUAUUGAUAUCAUCCAGAAAUAAUAGUGUCAUCUCAACUUCUAAAUAAGAAUCUAGCAGAUGUGCCUACUGGUUUAUGAUGGCACCGUAAAUAAUAGUGACAUCUGUUUUGUAUCUUGCUUGUAGUGUCCAGAUUUCCAAUUUUGUUGCUAUAUCUUUGGCGGUGAGUUGAUAUCGAUUUAUUAGUUCUAGAGACAAAAGAAAUUUGAAAGCGUGAAUUUUAUCUAAUCCAUGUUGUGCUUCCAACUUUGAAGACUGGAGAAGAUGUAAUUCUGUUUGACCUCUCUUUCAUUAAUCCUUUAGGAAAUAUAUAUGAUGUAGGAGAGUUACACUAUCAAAUGUUUGGAAUUCUUCUUCCAUGUUGAGAUGGGAUGCAUAUAGUUAAUGACAUGCUUUUGAGUUCAUAUAGACAGUUCAUCAUAGAAAAUGCACCGCACUGUAUUUUCUUUAUAUAUGAAUUUAGAAUACAUCAUUACUAUUUUAUCGAUCAUUCUUACUGGUUUCUAAUCAUGAUAUUUGGCAUUCUCUUGCACAAGGAUGUUGUGGUAUGGUAGUUCUUAUUUUUUGUGAACCGAUUCUAUCGUGCUUCUACUUCUACGUGUUUGUUGAUGAUUGAACGGAGGUUAGAUUAGAUUAUUGCCAUGGUAGUUCUCAUCUUCUUUAUCUGAAGUAGUAAGUUUGUUUGAUGUUUUCUAGCUUUCCUUCGAUUAUGAAAAUUCCCAAAGAAUGUCCCAUUGUCACUUCAAGGAGUAGCAGCUGAUAUUGGUGCUUCCACCUCCGCGUCAUGCCCGGGCCGAACUGCCACACCCCCUGGUUCUCCACAUUUUCUCUUUGGUGUUUUAUACAUUCAGUUAUAUCCUAUCUUAUCCAGUAUGUCUCAUAUCUUAGUUGAUUUGCAGUUUGUACUCUACUUUACAAACAUUGUAGAAAUAUUCUACUAACAGCUUAUUUUCUACUGUUUGGUUGUUUAAACUAAGAAAUUAAAUCUGGACCCGUACAAAUCUUGAGUAAAAUAUAUGCUAAUUAGUUCCUCUUGUUUAAUCUAUUCUAGGAUUGGGCACUACACAUAGAGCUAAAAAGUUACAUUGCCAUUUUGAGUGCAAACAAACAGGUUAGGUGGUGUGUACCUUAUUUCAGGAUCAACAAUCGGUGAAUUGGAUCUAAGGUUUGAGUUAGUACUGAGCAUUGUGUAUUCUAGAUGGACUAAUUGAGUGUGCUAAUUGAACCAUAUUCAUGGUGUUAGUCUGAAGUCAGAUUAUGCGAUUCACUCGCAUUAAUGCCAUUACUAUUGGUACAUUAGAUGAAUUGGGAGAGUUAAGUUAUGGGCUUCUUGCCAAUUACAUAAAAAAGGACAGACCCAGUGCAUAGAAGCUCCCACACAAGGUGGGGUCUGGGGAGGGAUUAUAGGAACCUAGUCUUACCCCUGCAAAGUGCAAUGCAGAGAGGCUGGUUCGAACCCAGGACCUCUUGGCACAAGUGGGGAGGACUUCACCACUGCGCCAGGCCUGCCCUCGCUUCUUGCCAAUUACAUGCCCACAAAUUAUACGUUGUGACAACUUUUCUCUUUAUGACGAGCAUGUGAUGUCGUAAGUUUCCUUUGGAGGACGUGGGGUCAUUUUCUGUCUAUUAAAUAUCUGCUUUGUGCUUUUGGAAGUGUCUAGCAGGGCCACAACUUAUGAAUGUAGUUGCAAUAAUGCACAAGAACUUCUUGUCAUUAGUUAAGAAAAUAAACUAUGGGUCAUUUUAACCACAUCAUUUCACCUUUUCAGUGUCAGCUAAGGUAUUCUGGUUUCUUGAGGUGGUUUGACUAUUUGAGUUUCCAUUGGUUACAGGUGUGUAUGUCCCUGAUGACAUGUUGCCCAAAAUCAACAUUUGUAGCUUCUUUAUAUAUGGCUUUCUCUCUUUCCAUCAUGAAGUUUAAUUGAUUUAUAUUCCAAAUGGGCUUAUUCUUACAAUCCAUUCCUUGCUAAUUUAAUUUUUAUUUUGCCUUGCUGGUCUUGAAUUUAUACUUUUAACUUAUUUCUGUGUGCUAUGCUUCUUUGACUACAUGUAAUCCUCUUCUGUCCUUGGUUCAGAUCAAAUGUGGAGUCCACUUCUUUCCUUGGUUCAGAUCAAAUGUGGAGAUGAUGUUUUUUUUUCCGCUAUGACUAUUAUUUUCACCUUGGUGACAGUCUCACGAAUCCUCUUUCCUUUCUUUUGUUGAUGUCUUGCCUCCUGUGUACUGAUAGAGGCAUAUAACAGAUGCAUGUCUCGGAUUAGAGAACUAUGAUUGUCCAUCUAUUUUAUAUUUUUCAUUUACCUCUUACGAGUAGUUUCCCUAAGUAGAAAAAAUGCAUUUUUCAGCCAUAUUGCUUUAUUAUCCUUUUUUGUGGGAACAAUACGAAGCCACACUAUGGUGUGCUCUGUUCCCAAUUUUACAAACUGGCAAGUUGCUGCUUGAUUUUGUUUCUUUCAGAUUUUUGUGUGCCUUUCUCCGUUAGAAUGUUUCUCCUCAACGACCAUAUCGAUCUGGCUGGCGUUCGCAACUGUGAUUUUGGUUGAACUGUGCAUGAUCAUCCCUCUAUUCAAAUUGUUGCUUCUCAAGGAUAUUUGCAAACCUAUCAACUCAAGCAAACUAUGAUUCAAAUUUCGUGAAAUGCAAGUAUUUCUUCUGUAAUGGUAAAAUAGGAAGAAUGCUUAACUGGGAUGCUUCAAGCAGGUUUCCUGCUUAUCACCCAUAUGAAACCUAACAUAUGAUUUUUUAUUUACAAUAAUAUAUAUGCAUUUUCCUAUAAAUAUUGGGGAAGUAAACUUCUGGUGCUUUAGAAACAACCCUGCACAUAUAUAUCAGGUGACGUAUUGGCUUGCAGGUAUGCUCCGGCUAGGUUGUUUCUUCUCUUCCUUAGGCUAUGGUUGCAACCGUUGGCUGCUAUGUUGGUCUUGAUGUAUUUGCUUUUUUAUAAGCUUAUAGUUUGAAAAACUGUAUACAAUGAUUCCUAAUUUGAUGCCAAUAGCUCGUGUGAGCAUCCACAGUGAUGGGUUCUUGUGCGGAUUAUUAGAGGCAGCAUCACCGUCGUGGAGUACAUGUACAUCAAUGCCGAUGGUGCCGGCAGCAACGACACAAGGUGGGCGAUUUGACCAGCGCAACAUUCUUAUUUGAGGAGUUGUGCGCAGUUCUGAAACAAUUAAGUUGUGCUUGGUGACACGCCUCAUUUCUGUGGUUGAAUAUUUGUGUUACCAUUUUCUCCCUUGCUGUGGAAAGCCACCAGCUUCAGGGAGUGCCAGGCUUCCACACAGCUAGAACAGACGCCACCUUUGGCAGGGAGCGUGAGGAUUUGGCUUGUCGAUAUGAGUGAUAGCAGCGCCAUGUGCAGAUUCCGCAGAUUCAAGCUGUAACGGAAGCUGCCAGGCUGCCGAGAUGAAGAUGGAGCCGCUGUGGCGCUGCGCCUCCAAGCUGCCGGGCCGCCAAUAUGCAGUUGGAGCCGCAGUGCCUCCGAGCUGCAGUGGGAGCCACUCCCCCGUCAAGCUACAUCGUGAUCCGCCGCGAAGAUGGAGCCUAGCGUGAGCCGCCUCCACCAGGUGCUUUCUCGAGUACAGUGGGGAGAGGAAGAGGAUGAACUGGUCGAUGGAAUCAAGGCUAACAGUCCACCACGUGGUUAUCUCCGGCGUUAUAUGUCCAGACUCCAGAGUGUGGUUCUUUGCCACAAUGGCACGGUUGUAAAUUUAUCUUUGGUGCUAAUUUGUACUUUAUGUAACUGGUAUAAUCUUUAUUGUUUCAUCAAAUUUAUUCCCACUUAUCUUAAUAUAAGAGCAUCUACAACCACAAGUAUCAAAA